This 497-nucleotide ribosomal RNA is filed under the name uncultured bacterium. Its description in RNAcentral is "partial 16S ribosomal RNA". It matches the Rfam family "Bacterial small subunit ribosomal RNA", at positions 28 to 507 of the family's 1533-position model. The record is from RNAcentral.
GAUGAACGCUGGCGGCGUGCCUAAUACAUGCAAGUAGAACGCUGAAGGAAGGAGCUUGCUCUUUCCGGAUGAGUUGCGAACGGGUGAGUAACGCGUAGGUAACCUGCCUGGUAGCGGGGGAUAACUAUUGGAAACGAUAGCUAAUACCGCAUAACAGUAGAUGUUGCAUGAUAUCUACUUAAAAGGUGAAAUUGCACCACUACCAGAUGGACCUGCGUUGUAUUAGCUAGUUGGUGAGGUAACGGCUCACCAAGGCGACGAUACAUAGCCGACCUGAGAGGGUGAUCGGCCACACUGGGACUGAGACACGGCCCAGACUCCUACGGGAGGCAGCAGUAGGGAAUCUUCGGCAAUGGACGGAAGUCUGACCGAGCAACGCCGCGUGAGGGAAGAAGGUUUUCGGAUCGUAAAGCUCUGUUGUAAGAGAAGAACGAGUGUGAGAGUGGAAAGUUCACACUGUGACGGUAUCUUACCAGAAAGGGACGGCUAACUACGUG